AGAGUUUGAUCAUGGCUCAGGAUGAACGCUGGCGGUCUGCUUAACACAUGCAAGUCGAACGGGGGACUUCGGUUCCUAGUGGCGGACGGGUGAGUAACGCGUGAGAAUCUGCCCUCAGGAUGGGGACAACAGUUGGAAACGACUGCUAACACCCGAUGUGCCGAGAGGUGAAAUAUUAAUAGCCUGAGGAUGAGCUCGCGUCCGAUUAGCUAGUUGGAGUGGUAAUGGCACACCAAGGCGACGAUCGGUAGCUGGUCUGAGAGGAUGAUCAGCCACACUGGGACUGAGACACGGCCCAGACUCCUACGGGAGGCAGCAGUGGGGAAUUUUCCGCAAUGGGGGCAACCCUGACGGAGCAAGACCGCGUGAGGGAUGAAGGUCUGUGGAUUGUAAACCUCUUUUGAUAGGGAAGAACGCAAUGACGGUACCUAUCGAAUCAGCAUCGGCUAACUCCGUGCCAGCCGCCGCGGUAAUUC
Molecule: ribosomal RNA, 476 nt
Filed under: uncultured bacterium
Lineage: Bacteria
Description: bacterial SSU rRNA
Rfam family: Bacterial small subunit ribosomal RNA
Source: RNAcentral